AUGAUCCAGGACAAGGUCAAUAUGGAGGGCUGGUAUCAUUUGAAGGACGCAGUCCUUGAUGGUGGCCUCCCGUUCCAAAGAGCAUACGGGAUGACGUUGUUCGAGUACAAUAACACGAACAUGCACGUUAACCGCAUGUUCAACGAGGCCAUGAAGAACCAUUCAACCAUCAUCACCAAGAAGCUCCUUGAGUUCUACAGGGGCUUUGACAGUGUCGGCACCCUUGUUGAUGUCGCAGGUGGUGUGGGUGCAACCAUCCACACCAUCACCUCCAAGUACCCGCACAUCAAGGGGGUCAACUUUGACUUGCCGCACGUUAUCUCUGAUGCGCCGUCCUUCCCUGGUGUGGAGCAUGUCGGGGGUGACAUGUUCGAGAAGGUGCCCUCCGGCGAUGCCAUCCUCCUAAAGUGGAUCCUUCAUGACUGGACUGACAAGCAUUGCACGAAUCUACUAAGGAACUGCUUUGACGCACUCCCUGCUCACGGCAAGGUCAUCGUCAUGGAAGGCAUCCUGCCGUUGAAACCAGACUCAACAUCCAGGGGGCAGCUGAUGUUCUUAGGUGACAUGAUCAUGCUCAUGCACACCCCAGGUGGCAAGGAGAGGCAACAGAGGGAGUUCGAGGAGCUUGCAAGGGGUGCAGGGUUCACCAGUGUCAAGACCACUCACAUCUACGGCAAUGCGUGGGUCAUUGAAUUCAUGAAAUAA
RNAcentral lists this ribosomal RNA (705 nucleotides) under Triticum aestivum (bread wheat). RNAcentral's name for it is "partial small subunit ribosomal RNA". The record is from RNAcentral. Lineage: Eukaryota; Viridiplantae; Streptophyta; Magnoliopsida; Poales; Poaceae.